GUCAAAUUGACGGUUUGAUUAACAGAUGUAUGAAAUUGCAAUAAAAUACAAGUUUGUGUUUGAGAUUAAAAUGUUUUAAAGAUGUUGUAUGAGAUUACAAUUGCACCUAAACCUGAGGGGGUAAUAUGUAACUUACCUUAAAAUUAUUGUAGAUAUUUUUGGGAUUGGAAUCAUAUUUUGACCGAGUGUUUUUCCAAAAAUCUAUUCUUACCACAUAUUGCAUCAUUAUUUGUAUUAUCUCUCUAAUAUAAAUGAGAACCACAUAUGUUGAUAUGGCCUACCUAUGUUAAGAGAUGGUACAAAUAAUAAUAUAAAUAUAUGAUAAGUGUAACAUUACUCAAAAUUUUCUCAAAUAAAUGUAGGAAAAAGUAAGAAACAAAAUCGUUCAUGUAACAUGUGGAGAUGUGCAUGUGUCCAAACUUAUGUUAUUCCACUCUACAUUUUAUUUAAGGAUAAUAUUUAGGUACUCACUAAUGAGUAUUUUAUGUACUUACAUACCGGUGAUUUUGUUGUUUGAAAUUAAUGAGGAGGUGUUGGGUUCAAAACAAGAUGUGUGUUUAUUUAAAUUCUAAUUUUUACAAAUUUCUUUUCGUAACAAUAUAAAUUUAUAAAAUUUGGCUAAAUGAUCAGAAGUUUAAUUAGAAGCAAUGAUUUUUGUAUUUAAAAUUAAUGGGAGGUCCUUAAUUCGAAAUGCUAUUUGCAUGUUUAAUUUUUUUUCUUUCAAUUUUUAUGAUUUUUUUUGGUUGUUAAUUUAUUUUUAAUUACUAGCUAGUAACUAUGUGGGUUGCUAUUUUUAAACAUUUGUUCAAAUUCAAGUCUAAUUUUCAACAAAUGGUAAUGGGUAGAUUAAAAUUUUAGACCAAAUUUGCAAAUCAUAUGACGUGCUAUCAAAAUGUUUAAUUUGGUGCCCAUUCAUUACUUAUACAUAUCCUUAAAGACUUGAAAAUAUCAUUAUUUUUUUAGUCUUAUACAGUAAAUAAGAAAAAACACCUCAUGAUUUAUACAAAAACACUUUAAAAGUUCAGAUGGAAGCCAAACUCAUAAUCUAUCUACUUGUCAGCCUGAAGUUUUUUGGUUUCCUUCUCUUGAUAUCAAAUAAAUUAGUUUUUCUGUGUUUCUAAAUUACAAAGUUUGAAGUGUUUUUCUAAAUAUAAUUUUAUCGAUGUCUUACGUGUAAAAACAAACAAUUUUUUUUAUAUGAAGUGAGGACAUACUUUUUGGCGUCGUCACAGGCCUUAAAAAUCUCUGAACCGACCUUAUGUGUCAGGAUG
RNAcentral lists this long non-coding RNA (1271 nucleotides) under Malus domestica (apple). RNAcentral describes it as "long non-coding RNA (MDOM_LNC018466)". The record is from RNAcentral. Lineage: Eukaryota; Viridiplantae; Streptophyta; Magnoliopsida; Rosales; Rosaceae.